This 464-nucleotide ribosomal RNA is filed under the name uncultured bacterium. RNAcentral describes it as "partial 16S ribosomal RNA". It matches the Rfam family "Bacterial small subunit ribosomal RNA", at positions 28 to 507 of the family's 1533-position model. The record is from RNAcentral.
GACGAACGCUGGCGGCGUGCUUAACACAUGCAAGUCGAACGGAAAGGCCCUGCUUGCCGGGUACUCGAGUGGCGAACGGGUGAGUAACACGUGGGUGAUCUGCCCUGCACUUCGGGAUAAGCCUGGGAAACUGGGUCUAAUACCGGAUAGGAGCCAUUUUUAGUGUGAUGGUUGGAAAGUUUUUUCGGUGUAGGAUGAGCUCGCGGCCUAUCAGCUUGUUGGUGGGGUAAUGGCCUACCAAGGCGGCGACGGGUAGCCGGCCUGAGAGGGUGGACGGCCACAUUGGGACUGAGAUACGGCCCAGACUCCUACGGGAGGCAGCAGUGGGGAAUAUUGCACAAUGGGCGCAAGCCUGAUGCAGCGACGCCGCGUGGGGGAUGACGGCCUUCGGGUUGUAAACUCCUUUCGCUAGGGACGAAGCUUUUGUGACGGUACCUAGAUAAGAAGCACCGGCUAACUACGUG